GACGAACGCUGGCGGCGUGCUUAACACAUGCAAGUCGAACGGAAAGGCCCUGCUUUUGUGGGGUGCUCGAGUGGCGAACGGGUGAGUAACACGUGAGUAACCUGCCCUUGACUUUGGGAUAACUUCAGGAAACUGGGGCUAAUACCGGAUAGGAGCUCCUGCUGCAUGGUGGGGGUUGGAAAGUUUCGGCGGUUGGGGAUGGACUCGCGGCUUAUCAGCUUGUUGGUGGGGUAGUGGCUUACCAAGGCUUUGACGGGUAGCCGGCCUGAGAGGGUGACCGGCCACAUUGGGGCUGGGAUCCGGCCCAGCCCCCUCCGGGGGGCAGGAGGGGGGAUUUUUGCACAAGGGGCGGAAGCCGGAUGCAGCAACGCCGGGGGCGGGAUGACGGCCUUCGGGUUGUAACCCGCUUUCGCCUGUGACGAAGCGUGGGUGACGUUAAUGGGGAAAGAAGCCCCGGCUAACUACGU
RNAcentral lists this ribosomal RNA (467 nucleotides) under uncultured bacterium. Its description in RNAcentral is "partial 16S ribosomal RNA". It matches the Rfam family "Bacterial small subunit ribosomal RNA", at positions 28 to 506 of the family's 1533-position model. The record is from RNAcentral.